Long non-coding RNA from Pipra filicauda (Wire-tailed manakin), 547 nucleotides. RefSeq lists it as uncharacterized. NCBI's taxonomy places the organism in Eukaryota, Metazoa, Chordata, Aves, Passeriformes, Pipridae. The record is from RefSeq and is a predicted model, not a curated record. The transcript has 3 exons.
GAACCGUCAGCAGCUCGCAGCGCAGGUGGUCUGAGACCACCCUUCACCCUGCUCCCAGUGGAGUGUUUUCAGGUGAUCCCUGCUCUGUCCGUCAGUCCUGACUCUGCCUGCAGUCUGGGUCUUGUGAUCCACCCCAGCAGGAUGGGCAACCUCCUCCCAGUGAAGGCUGAGAGAGACAGCGAAGAGCCAAUGGAAGUGGACAUGGCGAGAGAUCUAAAAGACGAUGUAGAGGAGAUGGAGGUGGACAUGAAAGAGGAUGUAGAAGAGGAGAUGGAAGUAGAGGAGGAAGGCGAGAAGGAGGAGGCCAUGAUCCUUGGAUAAGGACACCCCAGCCCAUCAGCAGGACUGACGGACCUGCCGGCCAUGGCAUUGGCCCCUCUGUACAUAUGUUUUUCAUUUUUUUCUGUAAAUAUGUUUUACAUUGUUCACUUUUUAAGAUUGUAGUUCUAAUAGAGAAGAUAGUUUAAGAUGAUAGAUUUCUAAUAAGAAGAUAGUUUUUUGAUAAUAGUUUUUUUAAGAAGAUAAGGUUUUAUUUAAAGAAGAUAAU